AUUGAACGCUGGCGGCAGGCCUAACACAUGCAAGUCGAGCGGCAGCGGGAAGUAGCUUGUUACUUUGCCGGCGAGCGGCGGACGGGUGAGUAAUGUCUGGGAAACUGCCCGAUGGAGGGGGAUAACUACUGGAAACGGUAGCUAAUACCGCUUAACGUCGCAAGACCAAAGAGGGGGACCUUCGGGCCUCUUGCCAUCGGAUGUGCCCAGAUGGGAUUAGCUAGUAGGUGGGGUAACGGCUCACCUAGGCGACGAUCCCUAGCUGGUCUGAGGGGAUGUCCAGCCACACUGGAACUGAGACACGGUCCAGACUCCUACGGGAGGCAGCAGUGGGGAAUAUUGCACAAUGGGCGCAAGCCUGAUGCAGCCAUGCCGCGUGUAUGAAGAAGGCCUUCGGGUUGUAAAGUACUUUCAGCGGGGAGGAAGGUGUUGAGGUUAAUAACCUCAGCAAUUGACGUUACCCGCAGAAGAAGCACCGGCUAACUCCGUGCCAGCCGCCGCCGUAA
This 506-nucleotide ribosomal RNA is filed under the name uncultured bacterium. RNAcentral's name for it is "partial 16S ribosomal RNA". It matches the Rfam family "Bacterial small subunit ribosomal RNA", at positions 30 to 523 of the family's 1533-position model. The record is from RNAcentral.